GUCCUGUCCUAUAAAGGUAAGAGGUAGAUAAUAACCUAUUCUGGCAAAACUGGUUCUUGCCCACACCAUUUGAAAAGUCUAGAACCUGAUUGUAAAUGAAAGGAUUCUUGACAACUACUGUUUGGCACUUGAUCUUUGACUCCAAUGCCAAACUUGGAGAAGACAGCAUGUUUCCACUGUUCUGAAAACAGUAGCUAAUCUGUGCUUCCCUUUGCUGUCUCGAGUAUAGUAAAACAUUUAUGAGGUACAGAGGCUUGCAGAAAAGUAUUUUAGAAGUGGAGUCAGAACUCUACUGUGGAAAGGGGGCUGAGAGAAUCAUGAAUCCGAUUCCUUCUCUUGCCAGAGGAAACUCAGAUUUGUGAUGUGGUUUCUCUGGGUAAACAUGAGUAAGUAACAGAAGAGAUCAGUAAAACUCUGGUCCACUGCUUAGAAAUUUGUGUUUUAUGACCUCACCUCUGCAAGGGAAAUAAGCAUGAAGACAGCGCUUUUCCUCCCACUAUUUUUAAAACUCAGAUGAGCAGGUGUUCUAUUGCUCCACGUGGUGCGCUUUUGAACUGAGAGGGACUGAGGACGGAGAAGCCAGAGUAGCACUGCCCCCACCCCGUGCCACCUGAAACUCAUCAUGCUGCUUUCUUUGGAGCGGCUGCCAAUUUAAAAGAAGACUUAAGGGGUUUCAUUUGGCUCUGUGAUUCUGCUGGAAGGAGGCCUGAGUAAGGUUGAGCUGAGGUUGCAGAGGAAAGGGGCCGUUUGUCCCACAACCUGAACAAAACAGAACUAUGAUGAAGCAGCAUUGUCCAUCUGAGAUGAAGAAGAUGAGACUCAGAGCAAUACAUAAGUUGCCCAAGGUCAGAGAGCAAGUAAGUACCAGAAAGAAAAGCCAGAUAAAUCUCAUUCCCAUAUCCUUGCUCUUUCAAUGAUGUUUCAGAGUUCAUUACAAAAAGAAUUGUUCUGUGUGCUCAGGAUAAAUUACUACCUACUAAAUUUAACCAUAGGGCAGUCUUAUAAACAGGGUAGAGUAUGCAGUUAAGAUAAAAUUUGAGAGGAAAAAGUUAAAUUAAAAUAGUACAUAACCAAUGAUCAGAAUAUUCUCAGUAUUUUAGAAAUUUAUGUAAGAAUAAACUAGAUACUGAUAAAAAAAGUCACAUUCUUUAUGCACAAAUCUUGUAAGUAGCUACUGUUAAAGAGAGGAUAUUAUUUACC
RNAcentral lists this long non-coding RNA (1200 nucleotides) under Callithrix jacchus (white-tufted-ear marmoset). RNAcentral's name for it is "lncRNA (ENSCJAG00000072604.1)". The record is from RNAcentral. Lineage: Eukaryota; Metazoa; Chordata; Mammalia; Primates; Cebidae.